Molecule: transfer RNA, 77 nt
Filed under: Mollicutes bacterium
Lineage: Bacteria; Bacillati; Mycoplasmatota; Mollicutes
Also listed under: 4 other names
Description: tRNA-Pro
Rfam family: tRNA
About the family: Transfer RNA (tRNA) molecules are approximately 80 nucleotides in length.
Source: RNAcentral
CGGGACGUAGCACAGCUUGGUAGUGCGUCUGGUUCGGGACCAGAAGGUCGUGGGUUCGAAUCCCAUCGUUCCGACCA